GACGAACGCUGGCGGCGUGCUUAACACAUGCAAGUCGAACGGAAAGGCCCUGCUUGCCGGGUACUCGAGUGGCGAACGGGUGAGUAACACGUGGGUGAUCUGCCCUGCACUUCGGGAUAAGCUUGGGAAACUGGGUCUAAUACCGGAUAGGAGCCAUCUUUAGUGUGGUGGUUGGAAAGUUUUUUCGGUGUAGGAUGAGCUCGCGGCCUAUCAGCUUGUUGGUGGGGUAAUGGCCUACCAAGGCGGCGACGGGUAGCCGGCCUGAGAGGGUGUACGGCCACAUCAGGACUGAGAUACGGCCCAGACUCCUACGGGAGGCAGCAGUGGGGAAUAUUGCACAAUGGGCGCAAGCCUGAUGCAGCGACGCCGCGUGGGGGAUAAAGGCCUUCGGGUUGUAAACACCUAUCGCUAGGGAAGAAGCUUUGUUGUGACGGUACCUAGAUAAGAAGCACCGGCUAACUACGUG
RNAcentral lists this ribosomal RNA (466 nucleotides) under uncultured bacterium. RNAcentral describes it as "partial 16S ribosomal RNA". It matches the Rfam family "Bacterial small subunit ribosomal RNA", at positions 28 to 507 of the family's 1533-position model. The record is from RNAcentral.